GGAGAGAUGGCUGAGUGGGUUGAUAGCUCCGGUCUUGAAAACCGGUAUAGUUCGCACCAAAGAACUAUCGAGGGUUCGAAUCCCUCUCUCUCCU
RNAcentral lists this transfer RNA (94 nucleotides) under Ctenodon histrix. RNAcentral's name for it is "tRNA-Ser". It matches the Rfam family "tRNA". Rfam says of the family: Transfer RNA (tRNA) molecules are approximately 80 nucleotides in length. RNAcentral also lists the same sequence under 1 other name. The record is from RNAcentral. Lineage: Eukaryota; Viridiplantae; Streptophyta; Magnoliopsida; Fabales; Fabaceae.